RNAcentral lists this ribosomal RNA (423 nucleotides) under uncultured bacterium. RNAcentral describes it as "partial 16S ribosomal RNA". It matches the Rfam family "Bacterial small subunit ribosomal RNA", at positions 359 to 774 of the family's 1533-position model. The record is from RNAcentral.
GAAUUUUGGACAAUGGGGGAAACCCUGAUCCAGCCAUCCCGCGUGUAUGAUGAAGGCCUUCGGGUUUUUAAGUACUUUUGGCAGAGAAGAAAAGGUAUCUCCUAAGACUAGAUACUGCUGACGGUAUCUGCAGAAUAAGCACCGGUUAACUUCUGGCCUGCUACCGCGGUCAUACGUAGGGUGCAAGCGUUAAUCGGAAUUACUGGGCGUAAAGCGUGUGUAGGCGGUUCGGAAAGAAAGACGUGAAAUCCCAGGGCUCAACCUUGGAACUGCAUUUUUAACUGCCGAGCUAGAGUAUGUCAGAGGGGGGUAGAAUUACACGUGUAGCAGUGAAAUGCGUAGAUAUGUGGAGGAAUACCGAUGGCGAAGGCAGCCCCCUGGGAUAAUACUGACGCUCAGACACGAAAGCGUGGGGAGCAAACA